RNAcentral lists this unclassified non-coding RNA (219 nucleotides) under Hevea brasiliensis (rubber tree). The record is from RNAcentral. Lineage: Eukaryota; Viridiplantae; Streptophyta; Magnoliopsida; Malpighiales; Euphorbiaceae.
AUGUUUGUAAGCUGUGAACUGAUGGGUGUGGCCAGUCACAAGAAUGUCUACGUCCAAUUGCCUUUGAAGCAUGGCUAAUGAGUCCAAGUCACCCCAUGGAACAACCUGGUGGCCAUGGCACAAUCCAAGCUUAAAUUGACCAAUCGUUAGAGUCUUAGUCUCAGGGUAACGUGUCUCCUCGUCAUACUCGCCUCUAGUAAUAUGCAAGUCAGGACAAAG